CUGAGUAACCGCGUGGAGCAGAGACCACGUUACACAAGUGACAGGAGCGAGCACCAAACCGGCCGGGUUAAGCCUCUGAGGGCCUGGGGCCGUCCGCUGUGGCAGCGGGCUCACAGCUCAGCAGUAUCAUUGUCGCUCCUAUUCUGAUUUUCACAGAGAAGGAAACCAAGGCCACAGAGCCCUAAGUGGCAGAAACAAGAUGCAAGUUCAGACUGCGACUCCGACACGCAUCCUCUUUCAGUGACAGCCUUUUGUUGCUUAAUAAGAUCAUUCCUCUCCUCUUAGCGGCCUUGUCCCAAAAAACUCCUGGCCCUCACUGUCCCCAGGAUAAGCGAGUGACUGAUGCAGGAUGAGAAGAGAGAAGCCCACACGGCACGCUGAGCCUGGACAAGGACCCAAAGCCGGGAGGAGAGGCUGGAGCGCAGCUCAGGGAUGUCCUUCCUGGGCCCUCGGGCUCACAGGAGGUCUCGAUACAAGAGGAGCUGUGACAUAGUGGACCAGAGCACAGGACGGGCAUCAGGUCAGCCCAGGGUCAAACCCUCGUCCCACCGUUUUCUCUCUCGAUUUCUCCCAGCCUUCCUCUCUAUUCUGUAAAAGGGGGACAACAUCUGAACCUGCCUUGAGGGUGGCGGCAAGAUGAAGCAUUGCUGGCUGCUGGCGGAGGAUGGUAUGCUCUCCCAAAACGUGUGUCACCGUGAAGACGGUGCCUGGGUGGCUGCAAGGACCAGCCUCGCCGGAGGGAGCCGAGGCAGAGGAGGCCGCCCAGCCAGGACGCUGACAAAGCCAAGACUGCAGAGCUGGCCCGGCCCACGCCCCUGACACAGACCCAGGGGCAGGGCACAGAGGGAGGCAGGGCGGCCGGACGCAAGGCGACGUCGCAGAGGAGCCAGGAGGAGGGGGAAUUUCCUGGAUCAACCCACAGUGUCCUAACCCCAACUCCUGAUGGACUUCUGCUUCUAGAAAGCGGCCUGGAAGUCUCAUCGAGAGACUGCCCUUUCGGCCUGGAGCUGGGAAAAGACGCCCCGACGAUCGGUUGUGUGAAUGGAUUUGGGGACAGUGGGGAAACAAGCAGACGGAGUGUUCACCAUGUGAAAUGUUGCUGAAUCAGAGAUCCUGGAGCUCGCCUGGGAGCAGUCUGAGGCCACACACACACACGAAACGCCAAGUCCAAACAGGGCCAUCAGCAGCCCUCAGGGCCUGGAUCUCCUCUUCUCUUCUGGGCAGGUUGGUGUGGGUGGGGGGCAGAGCAGAGGGGUCCCACACAGGAGCUGCCAGCCCUCUGGGGGCCCCGUGCCCACACCCAGGUUCCAAGGGCCGGGCUGUUCCGGGCAGGCUUCCCUCCGCACAAAAACAAGAGUCACUCAAAACAAAACAAAACAAAAAACUCCUUUUGUUUUCUG
Molecule: long non-coding RNA, 1400 nt
Filed under: Equus caballus (horse)
Lineage: Eukaryota; Metazoa; Chordata; Mammalia; Perissodactyla; Equidae
Description: lncRNA (ENSECAG00000052361.1)
Source: RNAcentral